This 253-nucleotide ribosomal RNA is filed under the name uncultured bacterium. RNAcentral describes it as "partial 16S ribosomal RNA". It matches the Rfam family "Bacterial small subunit ribosomal RNA", at positions 524 to 776 of the family's 1533-position model. The record is from RNAcentral.
UACGGAGGGAGCGAGCGUUAAUCGGAAUUACUGGGCGUAAAGCGCACGGAGGCGGUUGGGUAAGACGGAUGUGAAAGCCCUGGGCUUAACCUGGGAACUGCAUUCGAUACUGCCCGGCUAGAGUAUGGGAGAGGGAAGCGGAAUUUCAGGUGUAGCGGUGAAAUGCGUAGAUAUCGGAAGGAACACCAAUGGCGAAGGCAGCUUCCUGGCCCAAUACUGACCCUCAGGUGGGAAAGCGUGGGGAUCACACAGG